CCUACGGGGUGCAGCAGUGAGGAAUAUUGGUCAAUGGGCUAACGCCUGAACCAGCCAAGUCGCGUGAGGGAAGACUGCCCUAUGGGUUGUAAACCUCUUUUGUCAGGGAGCAACGCCGGCUACGUGUAGCCGGACUGAGAGUACCUGAAGAAAAAGCAUCGGCUAACUCCGUGCCAGCAGCCGCGGUAAUACGGAGGAUGCGAGCGUUAUCCGGAUUUAUUGGGUUUAAAGGGAGCGUAGACGGCAAGGCAAGCCAGAAGUGAAAGGGCAGGGCUCAACCCUGUACAUGGUUUUGGAACUGGGGUGCUAGAGUGCAGGAGAGGUAAGUGGAAGUCCUAGUGUAGCGGUGAAAUGCGUAGAUAUUAGGAGGAACACCAGUGGCGAAGGCGGCUUACUGGACUGUAACUGACGUUGAGGCUCGAAAGCGUGGGGAGCAAACAGGAUUAGAUACCCGAGUAGUC
RNAcentral lists this ribosomal RNA (461 nucleotides) under uncultured bacterium. Its description in RNAcentral is "partial 16S ribosomal RNA". It matches the Rfam family "Bacterial small subunit ribosomal RNA", at positions 338 to 795 of the family's 1533-position model. The record is from RNAcentral.